CAGUUGUGAAGGUGGUGGGGGCAGAUCUAGCCUCUCAGAGUGAAGGAUUUGGAAAUUUCCUGGAGUGCUUGGAAAGGAUGAAUUGAGAGUGCACUGGUGUGGGAAAUAUUUCUUACAGAAAAUGGCAUCAUCCGUG
Molecule: long non-coding RNA, 136 nt
Filed under: Chinchilla lanigera (long-tailed chinchilla)
Lineage: Eukaryota; Metazoa; Chordata; Mammalia; Rodentia; Chinchillidae
Description: lncRNA (ENSCLAG00000025814.1)
Source: RNAcentral